RNAcentral lists this ribosomal RNA (324 nucleotides) under uncultured eukaryote. Its description in RNAcentral is "partial 18S ribosomal RNA". It matches the Rfam family "Eukaryotic small subunit ribosomal RNA", at positions 1470 to 1796 of the family's 1831-position model. The record is from RNAcentral.
CCCUUAGAUGUUCUGGGCUGCACGCACGCUACACUGAUGCGAUCAACAAGUUUUUCCUAUGUCGAUAGACACGGGUAAUCUUUUGAACUCGCAUCGUGAUGGGGAUAGAUUAUUGUAAUUAUUAAUCUUCAACGAGGAAUUCCUAGUAGGUGCAAAUCAUCAGUUUGCAUCGAUUACGUCCCUGCCCUUUGUACACACCGCCCGUCGCUGCUACCGAUUGGUUGAUCUGGUGAAUUAUUCGGACUGCCGGCUGAAGGGGUUUCCUCAUCUGCCAGCGGAAAGUCUUGUUAACCCUAUCAACUAGAGGAAGCAGAAGUCGUAACA